ACAGACCGGUGUACAGCGACAGCUCCGCUGCGGACUCCGCGCUGUGUCUCCACAUAUCUGCGCGGUCUUCUCACCUCUCCACGAACCCUCUCCGCAAGGUUUCUCCACUUUCCCCUUGACUCUCUGUCUCUCUCCACGGUCUCCACCCGGUGUCUCCAGGCGCGCGCCACCAGUCGCUCCUCGCUGCUCUUUGCGCACGGACACUUCUCCACAUUCCCUCUCGUAUCCGCUGCGUUUAUCAGUCCCCCUCCCCUCUCCACCCCCCCGAAGACUCCAGAGCAGCAGCCACGAACUCGGGCUACUUUCUCUUUUGAGGUUCAGUGAUUAGUUUCGCGUUGGGCUCGAGCUGAAGAACAAUUUGAUUGUGGCUCAUGGGGAUUUAGUGUCGUGACAUGCUUUCGGGACCCGGCGACUCCACAAGGAAAUGGGAGUCUCUGCAUUUAUGGUUACAUGAAUGUCAGCGCUGCAGGCCAGAUGCCGGUGAUGGAGGAGCUUAUCAGUGAGAGCGACAGCAUGCCAAAGCGGAUCGCUCUGAUCUGCUUCCUGUCUCUGGUCAUGCUGAUGAGCAUCCUGGGAAACCUGCUGGUCAUGACGGCCGUCUGCAAGGACAGACAACUCAGGUGGGACAGAGCUUC
Cottoperca gobio is the source of this 635-nucleotide long non-coding RNA. RefSeq lists it as uncharacterized. The transcript has 3 exons. The record is from RefSeq and is a predicted model, not a curated record. Lineage: Eukaryota; Metazoa; Chordata; Actinopteri; Perciformes; Bovichtidae.